CUACGUGCCAGCAGCCGCGGUAAUACGUAGGUGGCAAGCGUUGUUCGGAAUAACUGGGCGUAAAGGAUGCGUAGGCGGUUGAGUAAGUUAUGUGUUAAAUAUAUAGGCUUAACCUGUAGAAAGCACAUAAAACUGUUUAACUAGAGUGCAGGAGAGGUAAGUGGAAUUCCUAGUGUAGCGGUGAAAUGCGUAGAGAUUAGGAAGAACACCAGUGGCGAAGGCGACUUACUGGACUGUAACUGACGCUGAGGCUCGAAAGCGUGGGGAGCA
This 270-nucleotide ribosomal RNA is filed under the name uncultured bacterium. RNAcentral's name for it is "partial 16S ribosomal RNA". It matches the Rfam family "Bacterial small subunit ribosomal RNA", at positions 501 to 770 of the family's 1533-position model. The record is from RNAcentral.